RNAcentral lists this transfer RNA (72 nucleotides) under Apaloderma vittatum (bar-tailed trogon). It matches the Rfam family "tRNA". From Rfam's summary of the family: Transfer RNA (tRNA) molecules are approximately 80 nucleotides in length. Their secondary structure includes four short double-helical elements and three loops (D, anti-codon, and T loops). Lineage: Eukaryota; Metazoa; Chordata; Aves; Trogoniformes; Trogonidae. The record is from Rfam by way of RNAcentral.
GGCUGGUUAGCUCAGUCAGUUGAGCAUGGCACUAAAAACGCCAAGGUUGUGGGUUCAAUUCCUGUUUGGUCG